AUGCACGCUGGCGGCGUGCCUAAUACAUGCAAGUCGAGCGAACGGACGAGAAGCUUGCUUCUCUGAUGUUAGCGGCGGACGGGUGAGUAACACGUGGAUAACCUACCUAUAAGACUGGGAUAACUUCGGGAAACCGUAGCUAAUACCGGAUAAUAUUUUGAACCGCAUGGUUCAAAAGUGAAAGACGGUCUUGCUGUCACUUAUAGAUGGAUCCGCGCUGCAUUAGCUAGUUGGUAAGGUAACGGCUUACCAAGGCAACGAUGCAUAGCCGACCUGAGAGGGUGAUCGGCCACACUGGAACUGAGACACGGUCCAGACUCCUACGGGAGGCAGCAGUAGGGAAUCUUCCGCAAAGGGCGAAAGCCUGACGGAGCAACACCGCGUGAGUGAUGAAGGUCUUCGGAUCGUAAAACUCUGUUAUUAGGGAAGAACAUAUGUGUAAGUAACUGUGCACAUCUUGACGGUACCUAAUCAGAAAGCCACGGCUAACUACGUG
Molecule: ribosomal RNA, 496 nt
Filed under: uncultured bacterium
Lineage: Bacteria
Description: partial 16S ribosomal RNA
Rfam family: Bacterial small subunit ribosomal RNA
Source: RNAcentral